This 340-nucleotide ribosomal RNA is filed under the name Nannocoris sp. CR 355. Its description in RNAcentral is "eukaryotic LSU rRNA". The stretch from base 1 to 180 matches the Rfam family "Eukaryotic large subunit ribosomal RNA", at positions 773 to 954 of the family's 3401-position model. Lineage: Eukaryota; Metazoa; Arthropoda; Insecta; Hemiptera; Schizopteridae. The record is from RNAcentral.
ACUCAUUGCGAGUAAAGGCGCACCUAGAGCGUAAUGUUGGGUCCCGAAAGAUGGUGAACUAUACCUGACCAGGAUGAAGCCAGGGGAAACCCUGGUGGAGGUCCGUAGCGAUUCUGACGUGCAAAUCNAUCGUCAGAGUUAAGUAUAGGGGCGAAAUACUAAGCGGCCCAUCUGGUCAGGUAUAGUUCACCAUCUUUCGGGACCCAACAUGUACGCUCUAGGUGCGCCUUUACUCGCAAUGAGUAAUUAACGCCCCGGGAGUGCGGGCUAAAAUUUAACCAUCUUCCCUUAAAAAGCAAAGCUUUCUUUACUUUUGUUUUGCCUUUAGGUUUUAUUACCC